RNAcentral lists this unclassified non-coding RNA (352 nucleotides) under soil metagenome. Its description in RNAcentral is "partial contains 5.8S ribosomal RNA, internal transcribed spacer 2, and large subunit ribosomal RNA". The stretch from base 1 to 120 matches the Rfam family "5.8S ribosomal RNA", at positions 35 to 154 of the family's 154-position model. The record is from RNAcentral.
GAUGAAGAACGUAGCGAAAUGCGAUAAGUAAUGUGAAUUGCAGAAUUCAGUGAAUCAUCGAAUCUUUGAACGCACAUUGCGCCCGCCAGUAUUCUGGCGGGCAUGCCUGUUCGAGCGUCAUUACAACCCUCAGGCCCCCGGGCCUGGCGUUGGGGAUCGGCGGGGCCCCCCGUGGGCACACGCCGUCCCCCAAAUACAGUGGCGGUCCCGCCGCAGCUUCCAUCGCGUAGUAGCUAACACCUCGCGACUGGAGAGCGGCGCGGCCACGCCGUAAAACACCCAACUCUUCUGAAGUUGACCUCGAAUCAGGUAGGAAUACCCGCUGAACUUAAGCAUAUCAAUAAGCGGAGGA